Molecule: transfer RNA, 62 nt
Filed under: Neurospora sp. IMI 360204
Lineage: Eukaryota; Fungi; Ascomycota; Sordariomycetes; Sordariales; Sordariaceae
Description: tRNA-Gly
Rfam family: tRNA
About the family: Transfer RNA (tRNA) molecules are approximately 80 nucleotides in length. Their secondary structure includes four short double-helical elements and three loops (D, anti-codon, and T loops).
Source: RNAcentral
CAGUGGUUUAGUGGUAAAAUCCAUCGUUGCCAUCGAUGGGCCCCGCGUUCGAUUCGCGGCUG